GACGAACGCUGGCGGCAUGCCUAAUACAUGCAAGUCGAGCGAACAGAUGAAGUGCUUGCACUUCUGACGUUAGCGGCGAACGGGUGAGUAACACGUAAGGAAUCUACCUAUAAGCGGGGGAUAACAUUCGGAAACGGGUGCUAAUACCGCAUAAUAUCUUCUUCCGCAUGGAAGAAGAUUGAAAGACGGCUCUGCUGUCACUUAUAGAUGACCUUGCGGUGCAUUAGUUAGUUGGUGGAGUAAUGGCCUACCAAGACGAUGAUGCAUAGCCGACCUGAGAGGGUGAUCGGCCACAUUGGGACUGAGACACGGCCCAAACCCCGACGGGAGGCAGCAGUAGGGAAUCUUCCGCAAUGGGCGAAAGCCUGACGGAGCAAUGCCGCGUGAGUGAAGAAGGCCUUCGGGUCGUAAAACUCUGUUAUAAGAGAAGAACAAAUUGUAGAGUAACUGCUACAGUCUUGACGGUAUCUUAUCAGAAAGCCACGGCUAACUACGUGCCAGCCGCCGCGGUAA
This 513-nucleotide ribosomal RNA is filed under the name uncultured bacterium. RNAcentral's name for it is "partial 16S ribosomal RNA". It matches the Rfam family "Bacterial small subunit ribosomal RNA", at positions 28 to 523 of the family's 1533-position model. The record is from RNAcentral.